RNAcentral lists this ribosomal RNA (254 nucleotides) under uncultured bacterium. RNAcentral's name for it is "partial 16S ribosomal RNA". It matches the Rfam family "Bacterial small subunit ribosomal RNA", at positions 524 to 776 of the family's 1533-position model. The record is from RNAcentral.
UACGUAGGGUGCGAGCGUUGUCCGGAAUUAUUGGGCGUAAAGAGCUCGUAGGCGGUCUGUCGCGUCGGUCGUGAAAACUUGGGGCUUAACCCUGAGCUUGCGGUCGAUACGGGCAUGACUGGAGUUCGGCAGGGGAGACUGGAAUUCCUGGUGUAGCGGUGAAAUGCGUAGAGAUGUGGAGGAACACCAGUGGCGAAGGCGACUCUUUGGCCUGUAACUGACGCUGAGGCGCGAAAGCGUGGGGAGCAAACAGG